This 94-nucleotide transfer RNA is filed under the name Bacteroidales bacterium. RNAcentral describes it as "tRNA-OTHER". It matches the Rfam family "tRNA". Rfam says of the family: Transfer RNA (tRNA) molecules are approximately 80 nucleotides in length. Their secondary structure includes four short double-helical elements and three loops (D, anti-codon, and T loops). The record is from RNAcentral. Lineage: Bacteria; Pseudomonadati; Bacteroidota; Bacteroidia; Bacteroidales.
GGAUAGAUCGUUUAAUGGCAAGACCAUACCGAACCGAUGUCUGCGCCUUAGUCGGUAAGGUAUCAUAGGGGUUCGAAUCCUCUUCUAUCCGCCA